RNAcentral lists this ribosomal RNA (434 nucleotides) under uncultured bacterium. RNAcentral's name for it is "partial 16S ribosomal RNA". It matches the Rfam family "Bacterial small subunit ribosomal RNA", at positions 29 to 507 of the family's 1533-position model. The record is from RNAcentral.
AGCGAACGCUGGCGGCAGGCCUAACACAUGCAAGUCGAACGAACCUUUCGGGGUUAGUGGCGGACGGGUGAGUAACACGUGGGAACGUGCGUUUAGGUUCGGAAUAACUCAGGGAAACUUGUGCUAAUACCGAAUGUGCCCUUCGGGGGAAAGAUUAAUCGCCUUUAGAGCGGCCCGCGUCUGAUUAGCUAGUUGGUUGAGGUAAUGGCUCACCAAGGCGACGAUCAGUAGCUGGUCUGAGAGGAUGAUCAGCCACAUUGGGACUGAGACACGGCCCAAACUCCUACGGGAGGCAGCAGUGGGGAAUCUUGCGCAAUGGGCGAAAGCCUGACGCAGCCAUGCCGCGUGAAUGAUGAAGGUCUUAGGAUUGUAAAAUUCUUUCACCGGGGACGAUAAUGACGGUACCCGGAGAAGAAGCCCCGGCUAACUUCGUG